This 497-nucleotide ribosomal RNA is filed under the name uncultured bacterium. RNAcentral's name for it is "partial 16S ribosomal RNA". It matches the Rfam family "Bacterial small subunit ribosomal RNA", at positions 28 to 506 of the family's 1533-position model. The record is from RNAcentral.
GACGAACGCUGGCGGCGUGCCUAAUACAUGCAAGUCGAGCGGACGAAUCGAAAGCUUGCUUUUGAUUCGUUAGCGGCGGACGGGUGAGUAACACGUGGGCAACCUGCCCUGUAGACGGGGAUAACACCGAGAAAUCGGUGCUAAUACCGGAUAACACGAAAUGUCGCAUGACGUUUCGUUGAAAGACGGCGCAAGCUGUCGCUACAGGAUGGGCCCGCGGCGCAUUAGCUAGUUGGUGAGGUAACGGCUCACCAAGGCGACGAUGCGUAGCCGACCUGAGAGGGUGAUCGGCCACACUGGGACUGAGACACGGCCCAGACUCCUACGGGAGGCAGCAGUAGGGAAUCUUCCGCAAUGGACGAAAGUCUGACGGAGCAACGCCGCGUGAGCGAAGAAGGUCUUCGGGUCGUAAAGCUCUGUUGUUAGGGAAGAACAAGUAACGCAGUAACUGGCGUUACCGUGACGGUACCUAACGAGAAAGCCACGGCUAACUACGU